CUGGUUAACGAAAAAAUCAAGAAAGAACAGAGAAGAAUGCUGCUUCUUCCAAAGAGGGAGGUAGGGAAAAAGAAGCUGUUUCCAUUUCCAAACUCAUUAGUUGGGAGUUAUCCAAAGGCUCAAUGGACUGGAUUCCAAGAUGAUGCCCUCACCUGGCUACGACUGACACAGGAUGUUGUUUAGGAGCUCAGCUGGGGACUGUCAGCUGGGUAGUGUUCCGCACUCACCAAACACACACCUGGAGGCAGAAUGAGAUGGCUCAGAACUCUAACAAAGCAGCUGGUGGAACUGAGCUGUGGGGUAAGGGCUUAUGUCACUAUUUUAUCCUUUGACUAUUCCCUCAUGCUGGUGUGGCCUAGAAAAUUACCUGUUACAUACAAGUAAAAAUUCAGACUCAGAGGACUAAGAUUUACCAUCAUCAAGACAAUUCAAAAGAGUAUGCUGUAGGUUUGAAGACAAUUUCCAGAGAGACACACAUUCUCAGAAUGUUUCCAGUAAUGACAAAAUCAUUGGAAUAAGCGGCUGACCUCCUCCCUGGGGGACUAUGCUCAUUAAGAUGUAUGUGUUCAGGACUGUUAAAAUUCCAGCUCAUUAUCUAAUAGUUGUACCUUGUGCACUUGGAUACCUCUGAAAAUGCUUCCAGCCCUUCCAUUUCAGUCAUAACAACCAACUGACAGUCUCCUAUACUUUUGAGAGGCUUUAAGGGAAGGUUCUUAUAGCAAAGUUAAAAGUGAAAAGGAAAAACUCAAAAGGAAGUACCACUAUUGAUAACCCUGUCUAUUCAUUUCCCUUGAAGUAAUUUAAGACCAUGAGGAAAGAAUUCUUCCUAGCUUUAGGGUCAGUGCUCAAGUCUUCAUUCAUUCUUUUCUCUCUUUAAUUUGCACAUUCCAGCAGGGAAACUGUAUUCCAAUCUCAAGAACAAUUCCAGAGCCCAAGCCAACUGUGCUGUGGAAGCAAUGUGAAUCAAUAUUCAUUGAUCACUAGCAUUUGUUCUUUGGCCUCUAAUUCAAAUGUCCUUUCCACUAGAAGCCUCCUCUAAACUUUCUUUUCCUGUGGUAGAAUCUAAUCAUUCCCACCACCAUAUUCCCUUUCGGUAAAGCAUUUGACUCUGCAUUUAAUUCUUUUUUCUCCCUUUUUAAUUUAUAACUAAAUUAUGAGCAGCUUGAGAUCAAUUAUCAGUUACAUUCAUGCUUAGGUCUCCAGUACCAAGCACAAAGUCUGGCAUCUGAGGGAGUACUCAAUCAAUGUUUGUUCAAUGAAUAAAUGUGGUAAGAGGUCUUCCAGAAGUAUGCCAAUAGGGUGCACUGGAGAGCCAACGAGUUCAGUUUAAUUAUAUCUAAAAUAAGAGAUAUGUCUCUAAGGAAGUAGCUUCACAAAUAUGAGAGGAUAAAAUACACAUGCAAAUAAAAUCUGGACAUUAAAGAAUAUGGUACAGAGAAGGCACUCUAUUUUAUGAGAUUUGAGUGAGUUACAAAACCAGCUCAGGAUCUAAGGAGCAGAGGGAUCUUUUGUUUAUCCACUCAAGUCUAAAAAUCUAAUGUACAUGUGACAAAAUUAAUAUUGUAUCAUUGUAUUAGUGAUUUUUAUUAUAAAAAUAAAUUGUAGCUACUCUCACAAAAAGUGAACAUAUGAGAUGUCAGAUAUGUUGGUCUACUUUACUAUGGUAGACAUUUUACUAUCUAUAUAUAUUUCCUAACAUCAUAUUGUAAACUUCAAAUACACACAGUGAAAUUUAUUUAAAAACUCAUUUGCUGAUCACCUUCUACAAAUUAUAUACUCCUAAUUCUCAUUUAAGAACUUUCAUGUUUCCUGAAAACACUGCCACUAAACUUAAAAACUUAAAUGUCAAAAUAUUUUUAUUCAUAUUGAAGGAAAAAAUUUGUUGUGUUUCAUGUGUAAGAUACCAAACCUAAGGUAUCGAUUUCCGCAGAUACAAAAAUGUACCAAGUUGAAUGAUGAAAACAAAAGUAUUUGUAAGCAUGCACUAUGUUCAUUGCCUCAUUGUUCACAAUAGCAAAGAUAUAGAAUCAAUUUCAGUAUUUAUCAGUGGAUGAAUAGAUGAAGAAAUAUGACAAAUAUGCACUAUGAAAUACAAUUCAGUUUUUAAAAAGAAGAAAAUCCUGUCGAUUACAGCACCAUGGAUGAAUCUGGGGGACAUUACAUCAAGUGAAAUAAGUCAGAAAGAGCAUGACAAAUGGUUCAUGAUCUCACUCAUGUGUGGAAUCUAAAGUUGAACUCACAGAAGAGUAGAAUUGUGACUACCAGAGCCUGGAGGUAGUACUUGGAGAGAUGUUAGUGAAGGGAUACCAAAAAAUCAGUUAGAUAGGAGGAAUAAAUUUAAGAUAUCUAUUGUAUAAGAUGGAGAAUACAGUUAAUAACAAUGUACAGUAAGUCCCUGACUUACAAACAUUCAAGUUGCAAACUUUCACAGAUAUGAAUGGACCUCACAUUUUGAACAUUCAUAGAUAUGAACAAAUCGUGGAUGUAGCUCAUGUGUCCGCUGGACACUGUCACAAUUGUGCUGCUGUGUGCUUACUGUACAGUGCAAUAGUGGACAGUAGUACAGUGCUGAAUCAGAGCUCAGGAUGUCCAGAAGCAAAAAAAAAAAAAAACAGUAGUGGUGAUGUGGAGGGGACUGCUAGGAAGGACAAAGCAAUAUACAUAGUACUGCAUAGAGGUGUAUAAGACUCCUGUUGUCUGACUCACAAACAAAUCUUAUGAACAUUCACCCGGAAUGGAGCUUGUUGGUAUGUUGGAGAUUUAACUGUAAUAUAAUCUUGAAAAUACAGUGGUACCUCAGUUCACAAACUUAAUUUGUUCCAUGAUUCUGGAAAAGAUAGCCACAUUCUUGUUAGUACAGGAAACAUGGCCACGGUUGUGUUUGUGCCUGAAAGAUGUGUGGUCAUGUUCAUCACCUGAUGUACAGUUCACAAACAAAAACAAAAAUUUGCGAAAUUGUUCCCAAACAAAAGCAUGUGUGAACCAAGGUACCACUAUAGAUUAUAAGUGUUCUCACCACAUGAACUUAUAAGCAUGAGAGAUGAUGCACAUGGUAAACAGCAAAAUCUAGCUAUUCCGUAAUGUAUAUAUAUUACAAAUAUUAGUUGUAUCUAUUUAUCAUGCUGUAUAAUAAAUAUAUACAAUUGUAAUUUGUUAAUUAAAAUAAAAAUUUUAAAGUAUUUAUAAAUAAUAAAUUUUGAAAAUAAAUAAAUGUGAUGUAAUACAAGGAUGACGGUGUAGUUUGUGUCACUUUUGAACAGUGUAUUCUUU
This is a long non-coding RNA of Heterocephalus glaber (naked mole-rat), 3270 nucleotides long. The record is from Ensembl. NCBI's taxonomy places the organism in Eukaryota, Metazoa, Chordata, Mammalia, Rodentia, Bathyergidae.